AAUAAUUCAGCGAGAUUCAGAUCCAGUAUCACACCUGUGUUUGUUUACCAUUGUGUAAAAGGUUGCUAGUUUCAUUGCUGGAUUUUCACUGUGUAUUUUGCCCAGGUUUAGUGGCAGAGAAUUUGUUUUGGACCGAGAGCUGGAAGAGAGGACAGUAGAGAACACAACAGUGACAAGCCUCUGAGCAAGUCAUCAUCAUGGCAGACCCAGACCAAUUGUCCAGACG
Molecule: long non-coding RNA, 226 nt
Filed under: Manacus vitellinus (golden-collared manakin)
Lineage: Eukaryota; Metazoa; Chordata; Aves; Passeriformes; Pipridae
Description: lncRNA (ENSMVIG00005005361.1)
Source: RNAcentral